This 90-nucleotide ribosomal RNA is filed under the name Halogeometricum rufum. RNAcentral describes it as "partial 23S rRNA. Archaeal LSU". It matches the Rfam family "Archaeal large subunit ribosomal RNA", at positions 2887 to 2973 of the family's 2987-position model. The record is from RNAcentral. Lineage: Archaea; Methanobacteriati; Methanobacteriota; Halobacteria; Halobacteriales; Haloferacaceae.
ACGGACACUCGUAGAAGACGAGUUCGAUAGACUCGGGAUGUACGCGCCGAGGCAACGAGGCGUUCAGUCCACGAGCACUAACAGUCCAUG